GAUGAAGAACGUAGCGAAAUGCGAUAAGUAGUGUGAAUUGCAGAAUUCAGUGAAUCAUCGAAUCUUUGAACGCACAUUGCGCCCCUUGGUAUUCCAUGGGGCAUGCCUGUUCGAGCGUCAUUUGUACCCUCAAGCUUUGCUUGGUGUUGGGCGUCUUGUCGUAUUACGACUCGCCUUAAAUACAUUGGCAGCCGGCACUUUGGCCUAGGAGCGCAGCACAUUUUGCGAUCGUAGCCCGUUGUACUGGCGUCCAUCAAGAACAUUUACCACGUUUGACCUCGGAUCAGGUAGGGAUACCCGCUGAACUUAAGCAUAUCAAUAGCGGAGA
RNAcentral lists this unclassified non-coding RNA (328 nucleotides) under soil metagenome. RNAcentral's name for it is "partial contains 5.8S ribosomal RNA, internal transcribed spacer 2, and large subunit ribosomal RNA". The stretch from base 1 to 120 matches the Rfam family "5.8S ribosomal RNA", at positions 35 to 154 of the family's 154-position model. The record is from RNAcentral.